GGAAUACCAGAAAUCAUCAUUAAAAUAGGACAAUAAUAUUUUCUUUGAACUAUAGUUUAAACAUUGAUAACUGAAUAAUCAUUGCAAAGUACAUGAUAAACACAGUGAGACUUUCUGCUUUUCUUUACCAGGACAAGGUGUUUCUGGUCAAGGGAGGAAGGUGAAACCAAAGAAACCUUGCAUUCCGUGGGAGAUACUCUCACUCCUUGAGUAUGAAAUUCUGCAUCAGCUGCAGAGGUUUUUUUUUUCCCUCCGCUCCCUAAUUUGGACCCAGGAUUUCCUCAUUAAUUGUAUCAAUGGGAUUAAUGACUGCAUACUAGCAGAGAACAUAAAGUACUUAAGAACUUCAGCCAUAUGACAUGUUAUUGUAGUAGCGAAUGAAGUAUUUAGCAUUUAUAUAGUGCUUUAUUUGCAGUGUGCCUAUUCUGAUUGCACAUUCACACACAUUAUAAUCCUAAUGAUCACUUUGUGCUUUUCUAUUUGUCAUGGUGUAUUUCCAGCAUUUAAAAUUUGUAACAUUAAGCAAAAUUAAUGCUCGUGGAAGCCUGCAGCUGCCUGCCCUCCGUGGCUGGGUGCUUCACUUAUUCAUACAGCCUUUGCCUCCUCAGCUGAGGGAGGAUCCUUAAACGCAAGUCUCCCUGAACCCCACAACUUGGAGAAGCAGUUUGCAAUCAGAGACCCUAGAUCAAUCAUUUGCCGUUGGUAGUGAUUUGAAUGAGCCCUAUUUUAGUUCACUCUCAGAGGAUCUAUGUAAGACAACUUCUCUUUUGAGAGACAAUUGCUGCUAAUUCCAUCGCAUUUCAAUGCCCUUCGGCAGCACUGGACUUCUCUUGAGGUACCCAUCUUCUAAGUGACCCCCUCCCUGUGCACAGCUAUCUAGGGAAAUGUAGGCUGGGGCUGUGUUGGAAACUUUUCCUUUAUCAAACUAUAGUCUUUUUCUAAUUUCUUUUAAGUGAUGUGAUGAAGAAGAUGUUGACAAUCAUGUUACCCAAGCACUUUUGUAAGUGUUCUGCGUAUGUGGGGUCUUCAAGAAGUUCAUGCAAAGUGUGUAUGUUAAAAACAUGGUGACUAGAUGGCAAAAUAAAAUUGCACUAAAGUAAAUGUCUUUUACUUUC
This 1115-nucleotide long non-coding RNA is filed under the name Oryctolagus cuniculus (rabbit). Its description in RNAcentral is "lncRNA (ENSOCUG00000031785.1)". Lineage: Eukaryota; Metazoa; Chordata; Mammalia; Lagomorpha; Leporidae. The record is from RNAcentral.